GUCAAAUUCAUUGAUCACAGAUUAUUUCAUCAGUCACAAUUUACUUGUCGAUCACAGAUUUUCAAAUUAUUUGGUCACAAACUAUUUUUUAAUAGCAUAUUAUCAUAUUUUUAGGUGACAAUUAAAUCCUUGAUCACAGAUAACCAAAAAAUUGGUCACAUACACAAAAUAGCAGGUCACAUAUAAUCGCCACUACCACUACGACCACAGUUAAAUACUUGGUCGCAAAUAACCAAAAAUUUGGUCACAUACACUAAAUAGCGAGUCACAUAUCAUCGCCACUAAUACUACUGCCACUGCCACUACGAUCACGGUGAAAUAUUUCAUCACAGAUAACCAAAAAUUUGGUCACGUACACCAAACAAUAGGUCACAUACCAUCACCACCAACACUAACUCCAAACAAAACGCACCACCAUCAGCACCGGUACCACCACCGCCAUUUUGCAACCCACCAUCAACAACCUGCAAUACUACUAUCACAGCACCACCACUAAACAACCACCAACACCACUAGUCCACUACCACCACAACCACCACUAAAAACAAUGAUUUGCAAAACUGAAAACAAUUAAACCACGCACAACUAACAUCAAAACAAUAACAAAAAGAACAUCACAGUCAUCAUUCGGCUUCUCUGAUGCUACGAGCUGCAUUGUGAAAUGGCGCUCAAAGGCGAUCGCAAUGAAAUCACCGGUUGGCGACGCUUGCCAUGUGUAAGGGAGAGUAUAGAGAGAUAGAUAGAGAGGAAGGAGGGGAAGAGGAGGGAAAGACGGAGAUCGCCGCUCAUUGCUCACACGACAAGCUCCGCUAUGAUCCGACAACGACGGCCAUGUGGAGGAAAGAAGAUAGAGAGACUUAGAGAGAGAGGGGAAGAAGAGGAAGGGCACCACUUGUUGUAUCCAUUGUGAUACAGUGACGGUGGCAGCGAUGAGCUCUACUGAUCUGGAGAUGACAGUCGUAGAGAGAAUGACAGCGAGAUGAUGGGGAAAAGACGGGAUGAAGAGGCAUAUAUGGGUGUAAUUUCGACUUUUUGAGCCAACCGUGCUUGCCUUGG
Molecule: long non-coding RNA, 1056 nt
Filed under: Olea europaea subsp. europaea
Lineage: Eukaryota; Viridiplantae; Streptophyta; Magnoliopsida; Lamiales; Oleaceae
Source: RNAcentral